CCUACGGGUGGCAGCAGUGGGGAAUAUUGCGCAAUGGGCGAAAGCCUGACGCAGCGACGCCGCGUGAGGGAUGAAGGUCUUCGGAUCGUAAACCUCUGUUAGCAGGGAAGAACGGUCACUGUGCUAAUCAGCAGUGAAUUGACGGUACCUGCAAAGGAAGCACCGGCUAACUCCGUGCCAGGAGCCGCGGUAAUACGGAGGGUGCGAGCGUUAAUCGGAAUUACUGGGCGUAAAGCGCUCGUAGGCGGUAUGUCAAGUCAAGGGUGAAAUCCCCGCGCUCAACGUGGGAACUGCCUUUGAGACUGGCAAGCUGGAGUGUGUGAGAGGUUGGUGGAAUGCCAGGUGUAGGAGUGAAAUCCGUAGAGAUCUGAAGGAACAUCGGUUGCGAAGGCGACUAUCUGGCACAUAACUGACGCUGAGGAGCGAAAGCGUGGGUAGCAAACAGGAUUAGAUACCCGAGUAGUC
RNAcentral lists this ribosomal RNA (465 nucleotides) under uncultured bacterium. RNAcentral's name for it is "partial 16S ribosomal RNA". It matches the Rfam family "Bacterial small subunit ribosomal RNA", at positions 338 to 795 of the family's 1533-position model. The record is from RNAcentral.